This is a long non-coding RNA of Myotis davidii, 945 nucleotides long. RefSeq lists it as uncharacterized. The record is from RefSeq and is a predicted model, not a curated record. NCBI's taxonomy places the organism in Eukaryota, Metazoa, Chordata, Mammalia, Chiroptera, Vespertilionidae. The transcript is spliced from 2 exons.
UUAACAUAGGAGUUUAGGAGGACACAAUUCAGCAGGCCACAGAGGCAGAAGGUAACCUCUCUGCUCCCUCGAUGGGAGCGGCUUGUGAGUCACCAGAGCAGCCUCCCGGGGACAUGCUUAUGCAGAGAUGUCAUUCGUGAUGAGAGAAGGAAUACACAGUCCUGGAUGUUGAAGACGAGGCAAACAGGAGGACUGUCAGGAGUAUGGGCACGCCAGUGUUUGGAAGCAGCCCACACGCAUGUGUGAUGACUUCCCCUCGGCAGACAGAUCUGUGGUCAACCUCUCUCCAACUGCAGACCCGCCAGCUCAUCUGAGAGUCCGGGAUCAUUUCCGAGAAGCCCCAAGGGAAGGAAGGGGAGGCUCAUCUGCGAUCUUACCUCACCGGGAUGACUGGCAUUUUUCUCACAAGGUGCUAGCUACCCACUGACCAAGAAAUCGCCAACUCUUACGAGUAACCACUCCCAUGUUCCCUCCCGGGUUCUUGUGCACCCUCACCCACUUGCACCGGAAGAAGCAGUGCCUGGGGUCAGAGUGGACCUCGGUGGGAACCAGGCUGCUCACUUGGGUCUAGGAGUCCUGAAACAGAAUCCCUCUUUCUGUUAGAAACAGACCCUCACUGUGGAGAGCCUCGGGUUAUAGGUGAAAGCAGUCGCCUGGGUAAACAGUAUCUGGGAAAACUGCCUUUGUGGGUUGAAGCAAGGCUGCCCUGAGUGCUUUCACAUCCACAGGCAUCUGCUCUUGGCUGUCACUCUUUGUGACAAGGGUUUCCUAGCUAGGCACCCCAGUAGCUGAGGAAUUCCCCUGCGGGUCCUGCUGGGGAAGGGAGCGAGAAGGGAGAUGUGAAGCCAGUGGAGGCAAGCUGUUCCCCCUCCCUCUGCCCCCUACUCUCCCCACUCUGUCACUGACCUCCUCUGCUUUAUACGUUGGACCUCUGCAAAAAAAAAA